This 258-nucleotide long non-coding RNA is filed under the name Salvia miltiorrhiza (redroot sage). RNAcentral describes it as "long non-coding RNA (SMIL_LNC010631)". Lineage: Eukaryota; Viridiplantae; Streptophyta; Magnoliopsida; Lamiales; Lamiaceae. The record is from RNAcentral.
GCAUCGUACUGUUGAGGGAGGCCUCCCCCAACAGACGCAAGCAUCAAACAUAAGCAUAAAUUUAUCAGCGUAAAGCAUUCAAGCGUAAAUAAGCGUAAUCAAGCGUAAAUUACAUAGGGCGUAAAUAGUAUAAACAGCAUAGCGUAAAUCAUUUAACGUGCAGCAUAAUAAAGCUUAACUCAUUUAAGCGUAAUAAAGCAUACCACACUUGAAGAUCCAAUUUGCAUUUUAAAGCAUAACACUUGCAUAGCAUUUUAU